ACGAACGCUGGCGGCGUGCUUGACACCUGCAAGUCGAACGGAAAGGCCUGCUUUCCCUUGUGGAUUGCGGGUACUCGAGUGGCGAACGGGUGAGUAACACGUGAGUGAUCUGCCCCCAACUUGGGUAUAAGCCUGGGAAACUGGGUCUAAUUCCCGAUAGGACUGCAGGGUGGUGCCUGUGGUGGAAAACGAUUUUCUAGUGGUUGGGGAUGAGCUCGCGGCCUAUCAGCUUGUUGGUGGGGUAAUGGCCUACCAAGGCGGCGACGGGUAGCCGGCCUGAGAGGGUGGACGGCCACAUUGGGACUGAGAUACGGCCCAGACUCCUACGGGAGGCAGCAGUGGGGAAUAUUGCACAAUGGGCGGAAGCCUGAUGCAGCGACGCCGCGUGGGGGAUGACGGCCUUCGGGUUGUAAACUCCUUUCGACCGCGAGGAAGCCACCUGGUUGGAAGGGUGGUGACGGUAGUGGUAGAAGAAGCACCGGCUAACUACGUG
This 493-nucleotide ribosomal RNA is filed under the name uncultured bacterium. RNAcentral's name for it is "partial 16S ribosomal RNA". It matches the Rfam family "Bacterial small subunit ribosomal RNA", at positions 29 to 507 of the family's 1533-position model. The record is from RNAcentral.